UAUCACUCUCACGUCAUUAUUUUGAAAGAACAUUGUUUCCAUAGCAACCGGAACUUUUAAUGGCUGCUGAGAUGACGCAAUGACUUUACCAAUCAGCCAUUGGCUCUUCUAUUUAGAAGGCGCGAGCGCGAUAUCUACUUGCCAAUGCGUUGCACAGUGCACUCUUUCUCCCAUGCGUGAAAAUUUCGGUUAGUUGCCCAUCUUUGUCGAGUUUUUCCACGGAUGAACCAAUUCAGAAAAUAAUUGAAGCUGGAAUACAGAUUAACGAAGAAGAGGCAAGGAAAUUCAGGGGAAACUUGUGUUGGGGAGGAUUCAUGAUCUGUUGAGGCCCAUGUGAACGUUCUACAAAGUGAGUAUCGGAAGACACAUCCAGAAAUCUCGACUGUCAAAGACUGCAUGGCACAAACAUUCUCCUGGAGACGUCAAGAAAUCAUGGAAGGAAUGUCUGUGGAGGAUGUAGUCAAAUAGUACCCAUACUUAAGAACGCCUGCUGGAGUGAGUAUUGAAAACACCUGAAUGUUACAAGAAGGCAAUCUAUUAUGAUUUUGGAAAUUGUGAAAUUGAAGACAUGUCGAUUGCUGUCACAGAAAAUAAACAUUUCUGAAAAUAUAUCUGUAAAGGCUACAGUAUAGAAACCUAACAGCAUUUUAUGAAAUAAAAUUGCUUUCAGUGAUGCACUGAAUAUUAAUCCUGUCUUCACAUUCUACAGGUUGUUUCCUUUUUUUUUUUUUUUUUUUUUUUUUUUUUUUUUUGAUGAUGAGAUUGACUGAAUCGUUUCAGAGAGGGCUUCACUAGAGUUCUGCCAAAUGUGCUAAAACUUGCCAAGGCAAAAUCCCCCCCCUAGCAAAACAGUACACUGAAACAAGACAGGAUGCCCUGGCUGAAGAUCUACCAGGGGGACCCUGCUACACCCUUUCCAACCAUUCAACUGAUGGAGAAUGCCCUCUUCCAAUGAUUGCCAUUUUCCAAUCGCAGUGUGGUGACGGUAGAUGAAAUGGUCAUGUGCCAGUGCACCAGCCUUGACGAAGCCUUCAUGACAGCCGUCUGUAUUUGUUUCAACACUGCAUAUCCACCACACCUGAAGAUAAUUCUGAAGCCUACCUCUCUCAUAGUAAUGUAGUGUUCAAACUUUUCUCUAAAGAUGGAUGGCAAGAGGAUAAGCCCAGCCCUUAAGUCAAUUCCUGAAUGUAGAAAAAUAUUCUAGUUUCACAAUCACAUAUUUUGCAAUGUUGUAAAGCAAAUUACAUAUAUUGUGAGUUUCACUAGCAAAGUGACUGUUUGGACAGAUCAAGUACAUACUUAACUUUGAUACCACAUGGAUGCUUUGCAGUAAGAUCUUGCUUCCAUCGUCCUUUGAUUCACAUUUUCAUGCAUAUCCUGUAAGAGUAGACAGUGACUGGAUUUUGCUUAAACCUGGAGAUGAGUUGGACCACACAUCGCUUGACACAUACAGUUGAUAAUCUGUAUGUUGGAUUGAGACAUUUUGUGUAAAUGCUUGCUGGUCUUUGGCAAGGUCAUAUGAAUAGGAUGCUUAGUGUACAGGUAUGCCAAAAAUGAAACUUGUCAUUUACUCCCCCUCAUGUUGUUCCAAACCUACAUGAAUUCUUUCUUCAGUUGAACACAGAAGAUACUUUGAAGAAUGUUGGUAACCAGACAGUUGACGGUAGCCAUUGACUUGCAUAGUAUUUUUUUUUUCUUCUAAUAUGGAAGUCAGUGGCUACCAUCAAAUGUCUGGUUACCAACAUUCUUCAAAAUAUCUUCUGCGUUCAAAUGAAGAGAGAAUUCAUAUAGGUUUGGAACCACAUGAGGGUGAGUAAAUUACAGGAUUUUAAGUUUUUGGGUGAACUCACUGUCUGUUUAAUGCAAGUCUUCUGUACAGAUUUGUCAGAUAUGUUGUUUAAUGCCCAAAAUACAAGUUGACAUGCUGAUAGCGAAUGGUUGGUCUAAAGAGGGUCAAAAGUGUUUAAAAAAAAAAAAAAAAAGUGCAAAAGCUCAAGGAUAGGAUGUUAAAAUGCUUGAGAGUUUAGUAUUUAAAACUGAUUAAUGAACUGCUCAUUGGGCCCGACGCUUUCAGUUUUGUAUUUACACUCUGAAGGAAUUGUAACGCAUUGUACAUGUUCAUUUGAAAUAUUUUUUUUAACAGGUUUAA
Ctenopharyngodon idella (grass carp) is the source of this 2149-nucleotide long non-coding RNA. RefSeq lists it as uncharacterized. The record is from RefSeq and is a predicted model, not a curated record. Lineage: Eukaryota; Metazoa; Chordata; Actinopteri; Cypriniformes; Xenocyprididae. The transcript is spliced from 3 exons.